GACGAACGCUGGCGGCAUGCCUAAUACAUGCAAGUCGAGCGAACAUUUCUAGCUUCUUUCUUCUAUACAUGUUAGCGGCGGAUGGGUGAGUAACACGUGAGCAACCUGCCCUUCAGAUGUGGCUACCUCCGGGAAACCGUGGCUAAUACCGGAUAAUCAUUUUGUCCGCUUGGACAAACUCUAAUAGACGGCUUCGGCUUUCACUGCCGGCUUGUCCCGCGGCGCAUUAGCUAGUUGGUGGGAUAACGGCCUACCAAGGCCACGAUGGGUAGCCGACCUGAGAGGGGGAUAGGCCACACUAGGAGUGAGACACGGCCAAGACUACUACGGGAGGCAGCAGUAGGGAAUCGUACACAAUGGACGGAAGUAUGAUGGAGCAAUGCCGCGUGAGAGAAGAAGGUUUUCGGAGCGUAAAGAUCUGUUGUGAGGGAAGAACAAGUACGGGAGGAACUGAACGUAAAUUGACGGUACCUGAUUAGAAAGCCACGGCUAACUACGUG
This 500-nucleotide ribosomal RNA is filed under the name uncultured bacterium. RNAcentral's name for it is "partial 16S ribosomal RNA". It matches the Rfam family "Bacterial small subunit ribosomal RNA", at positions 28 to 507 of the family's 1533-position model. The record is from RNAcentral.